This 636-nucleotide ribosomal RNA is filed under the name uncultured marine eukaryote. RNAcentral describes it as "bacterial SSU rRNA". It matches the Rfam family "Eukaryotic small subunit ribosomal RNA", at positions 617 to 1259 of the family's 1831-position model. The record is from RNAcentral.
AGUUAAAAAGCUCGUAGUUGGAGUUCAGGGUGAGCUCAGCCGGUCGGCGUCAUGCGUCAGAACUGGUCGACUCUCCCUUGUUUGUGGAUCCCGCCCGGAGUUAACUCUUCGGGAUGUGGAGUUCACAUCGUUUACCUUGAAAAAAUUAGAGUGUUCAAAGCAGGCGUUUGCUUGAAUAUAUUAGCAUGGAAUAAUGGAAUAGGACCCUGGUUCUAUUUUGUUGGUUUUGAGAACCUGAAUAAUGAUUAAUAGGGAUAGUUGGGGGCAUUCAUAUUUCAUUGUCAGAGGUGAAAUUCUUGGAUUUAUGAAAGAUGAACUUCUGCGAAAGCAUUUGCCAAGGAUGUUUUCAUUAAUCAAGAACGAAAGUUAGGGGAUCGAAGACGAUCAGAUACCGUCGUAGUCUUAACCAUAAACUAUGCCGACUAGGGAUUGGGCGUGGUUUGUUCAUUGACCCGCUCAGCACCUUACGAGAAAUCAAAGUCUUUGGGUUCCGGGGGGAGUAUGGUCGCAAGGCUGAAACUUAAAGGAAUUGACGGAGGGGCACCACCAGGAGUGGAGCCUGCGGCUUAGUUUGACUCAACACGGGAAAACUUACCAGGUCCAGACAUAGUAAGGAUUGACAGAUUGAGAGCUCUU